Molecule: ribosomal RNA, 253 nt
Filed under: uncultured bacterium
Lineage: Bacteria
Description: partial 16S ribosomal RNA
Rfam family: Bacterial small subunit ribosomal RNA
Source: RNAcentral
UCCGUAGGGUGCGAGCGUUAAUCGGAAUUACUGGGCGUAAAGCGUGCGCAGGCGGUUUUGUAAGCCAGAUGUGAAAGCCCCGGGCUUAACCUGGGAAUGGCAUUUGGGACUGCAAGGCUGGAGUGUGGCAGAGGAGACUGGAAUUCCUGGUGUAGCAGUGAGAUGCGUAGAUAUCAGGAGGAACACCGAUGGCGAAGGCAGGUCUCUGGGCUGACACUGACGCUCAUGCACGAAAGCGUGGGGAGCAAACAGG